RNAcentral lists this ribosomal RNA (253 nucleotides) under uncultured bacterium. Its description in RNAcentral is "partial 16S ribosomal RNA". It matches the Rfam family "Bacterial small subunit ribosomal RNA", at positions 524 to 776 of the family's 1533-position model. The record is from RNAcentral.
UACGGAGGGGGCUAGCGUUGUUCGGAAUUACUGGGCGUAAAGCGCACGUAGGCGGCUUUGUAAGUUAGAGGUGAAAGCCCGGGGCUCAACUCCGGAAUUGCCUUUAAGACUGCAUCGCUAGAAUUGUGGAGAGGUAAGUGGAAUUCCGAGUGUAGAGGUGAAAUUCGUAGAGAUCCGGAGGAACACCAAAGGCGAAGGCAGUGUCCUGGGGAGUACCUGACGCUCAGGUGCGAAAGCCAGGGGAGCGAACGGG